This 468-nucleotide ribosomal RNA is filed under the name uncultured bacterium. Its description in RNAcentral is "partial 16S ribosomal RNA". It matches the Rfam family "Bacterial small subunit ribosomal RNA", at positions 28 to 507 of the family's 1533-position model. The record is from RNAcentral.
GACGAACGCUGGCGGCGUGCUUAACACAUGCAAGUCGAACGGAAAGGCCCUGCUUUUGUGGGGUGCUCGAGUGGCGAACGGGUGAGUAACACGUGAGUAACCUGCCCUUGACUUUGGGAUAACUUCAGGAAACGGGGGCUAAUACCGGAUAGGAGCUCCUGCUGCAUGGGGGGGGUUGGAAAGUUUCGGCGGUUGGGGAUGGACUCGCGGCUUAUCAGCUUGUUGGUGGGGUAGUGGCUUACCAAGGCGUUGACGGGUAGCCGGCCUGAGAGGGUGACCGGCCACAUUGGGACUGAGAUACGGCCCAGACUCCUACGGGAGGCAGCAGUGGGGAAUAUUGCACAAUGGGCGGAAGCCUGAUGCAGCAACGCCGCGUGCGGGAUGACGGCCUUCGGGUUGUAAACCGCUUUCGCCUGUGACGAAGCGUGAGUGACGGUAAUGGGUAAAGAAGCACCGGCUAACUACGUG